RNAcentral lists this ribosomal RNA (253 nucleotides) under uncultured bacterium. RNAcentral's name for it is "partial 16S ribosomal RNA". It matches the Rfam family "Bacterial small subunit ribosomal RNA", at positions 524 to 776 of the family's 1533-position model. The record is from RNAcentral.
UACAGAGGUCUCAAGCGUUGUUCGGAUUUACUGGGCGUAAAGGGCGCGUAGGCGGCUUGUCAAGUCACUUGUGAAAUCUCUGGGCUUAACCCAGAACGGCCAAGUGAAACUGACAUGCUAGAGUGUGGAAGGGGCAAUCGGAAUUCUUGGUGUAGCGGUGAAAUGCGUAGAUAUCAAGAGGAACACCUGAGGUGAAGACGGGUUGCUGGGCCAACACUGACGCUGAGGCGCGAAAGCCAGGGGAGCAAACGGG